Molecule: ribosomal RNA, 986 nt
Filed under: Acanthogammarus victorii
Lineage: Eukaryota; Metazoa; Arthropoda; Malacostraca; Amphipoda; Acanthogammaridae
Description: 16S ribosomal RNA
Rfam family: Bacterial large subunit ribosomal RNA (bases 612-936)
Source: RNAcentral
UACUGCUAGGUAAUAGUAAAGGUAAAGAAAGUCUAGGCGCUGUACCUUUUGUAUCAGGGGAGCUUAAAGAGUGGGGUAGUGAAUUAUCGAGUAGCAUGGAACUUUUUAUUUAGGGUUUAGUGGGAUUUACAUCUGUAAAGUAUUAUGGGGUGACAAGCGUGCGGCAUGUUUGGUAUCUAUUUGCUUUUUAAAAAAAAAAAGAAAAGGUUAAGCUUUUCUUGGUCUAUGCAAAGCCAGUUAAGGUAAGAAAACAAGGCUUUAAAUUAGCUGGGCCUCUAAAUUGUUUUAAAUAAUCUUUUAAACAAGGGUACAAUUAGAUUUAACUAGUUAGCUAGGAUUACAAAAGUCUAGGGUAAUAAUGAGUUUAUUGAAUAUUAUACGAAGACUUAAAGUAACUCGGGUUAAGCUAGAAGGUUUAGCAAAAACAUUUUUAUUUGAAGAAAGGUAGUAGGGCCUGCCCAGUGGGUUAAACGGCGGCGGUAUAUUGACUGUGCUAAGGUAGCAUAAUCAUUUGUUUCUUAAUUGGUAACUGGAAUGAACGGUUGAACUGGCUUAGGGGGUGUGUAAGUCUAAACAGAAAAUUAAAGUCGGGGUAAGAAUUCUUCGAUAGUUUAGGGGACGAUAAGACCCUAUAAGCUUGACAAAAAUAGAAAUGACUUUGUGUUUCAAGUUAGUUUGUUUUACUGGGGCGGUACUGGUAUUUUAACUAUUAGGUGAGCUAGGAUCCUUUAUAUAUAGAUGAAAUGGGGAAGUUACUUUAGGGAUAACAGUGCAAUAUUUUUGGAGAGAUCUUAUCGAUAGGUAUGUUUGCAACCUCGAUGUUGAAUUAAAAUUUCUACGUGAGGCAGAAAGUAUAGUAGAGGGUUUGUUCAACCUUUAAAUUUUUACAUGAUUUGAGUUCAAAUCGGUGUAAGCCAGAUUGGAUUUUAUCUCUAAAUAAUUUUAGGGCCUUUCUAGUACGAAAGGGUUGAUUGGAGUUUGUUAUC